RNAcentral lists this unclassified non-coding RNA (155 nucleotides) under [Lecythophora] canina. RNAcentral's name for it is "partial internal transcribed spacer 2". The record is from RNAcentral. Lineage: Eukaryota; Fungi; Ascomycota; Sordariomycetes; Coniochaetales; Coniochaetaceae.
CAACCCUCAAGCCCUGCUUGGUGUUGGGGUCCCACGGCCGCCGUGGGCCCUGAAAGGAAGUGGCGGGCUCGCUACAACUCCGACCGUAGUAAUUCAUUAUCUCGCUUAGGGCGUUGGGCGGCGCUCCUGCCGUUAAAGAACCAUCUUUAACUCAA